Molecule: unclassified non-coding RNA, 368 nt
Filed under: Hevea brasiliensis (rubber tree)
Lineage: Eukaryota; Viridiplantae; Streptophyta; Magnoliopsida; Malpighiales; Euphorbiaceae
Source: RNAcentral
GAAAAAUUCCGGUGCCUUGGGGUCCAGAGACAGGAAAUGUACAUGAUACAGAUUGCCUUUGGUGAGCUACUGCUAGUGAUGCAUUGUACCAAGGACCUCUAACAAUGGGCUCGCCAAUGGCAUCUAUAAUCGGCUUGUUCUUACUGGCUCUUUCCAAGGCCUUGCUGCUGCAGCUAUGAUAUAUGGAGAGAUCAUCAAGAGCACUUAGAGCAACGCCUCCAGUUAAGCAAAUCAAGGUCCCUGACACUAUCCUUCGCCCCCAUGUCUUUGCCUUCCCUUCCUCGGCCACCACUUUUCCCGAAGCUGAUGGAGAGCGACGCAAGAAGGAGAUAAAUCUUCUCCCCAACAUUUUGCUUCUGUGAGUUUUU